RNAcentral lists this long non-coding RNA (219 nucleotides) under Mytilus galloprovincialis (Mediterranean mussel). Lineage: Eukaryota; Metazoa; Mollusca; Bivalvia; Mytilida; Mytilidae. The record is from RNAcentral.
UUAAUAUUCUUCGUUUUAGUAUAUUGCGGUCUUGUUAUUGUAAUCUAACACUGUAGUGUGAUACACAUGUACACUAUAUAUGCAAAAUUCAUCAGUGAAACCCAAAAUAUAGAUAUAACUUUAUCAUUAUUUAUACAACUGCUCGCCAAAUCAAAAUGCUUGAAAUUGCCUUCUAAUUUUUCUAUGUACUAAGUUGCUAUGCACGAAUGACCACAAGGG